GGGAAUGUUGCUGAGUGGUACAGCAACUUGCCUAGUGUGUGAAAGGCCCUGGGUUCAAUCCCCAGUACUGCCA
RNAcentral lists this transfer RNA (73 nucleotides) under Fukomys damarensis (Damara mole-rat). It matches the Rfam family "tRNA". From Rfam's summary of the family: Transfer RNA (tRNA) molecules are approximately 80 nucleotides in length. Their secondary structure includes four short double-helical elements and three loops (D, anti-codon, and T loops). The record is from Rfam by way of RNAcentral. Lineage: Eukaryota; Metazoa; Chordata; Mammalia; Rodentia; Bathyergidae.